ACUUUCUCCGUCAUGUCAAACCGUACCUGGCUCUCAGAAGACUGUUUGCUGUGCAGCUUUUUAGAGAGCAUGAUCAGAGGCGAGAGUGUUUUUGCGAUUCUGUGAUCAUUUAAUACUGAUACGCACUGCUACGGACAUCAAUAAUCCCAAGACUGUGAGCGUAUCUCUACCUAUCUUUGCCUUUCUCCUCUACUGGUGUGUUCACAGGUAUAAAUCCAAACUUAAUGAGUUUAUAACGGAUUGUACCAAUCCUACUCUCCUCUGUCAGAGGUAUUUAAGACUAGCUGGAGAUUCUAGGUGUAUUUCACAUGUGUACAAUAUACAACAGCUAUAUGUACAGGACAAAUCGUCUCAACUCUUGAUCCAGAUCCAAUCACUUGAACGUGGAGCACACGUUACCUGUCCAGUCAUAACAAUAGAGGCAGCAAUCUAAUGUUAUUCAAAACAAAUGAAUUUUUCAACAGUAGAUCACAGGUAUUCACUCCAUGUAAAUGUAAAAAGAAUCAUUUACCACUCCAAUUAACACCCGGUCAACACUGCAGCAGUCCGAGAGGAUUUAUAAUUACAUUUUCAGAGGUGCCUGCUUCCCUCAUAAACUCUAUGGAGUAUCAGUGUCAUGUGUACAAUGUUACACAGACCUACAAAACCUUCAGUGGUUACCCUGGAGAAGAUAUCUCCUCCGUUGUAUUCUAAGGGGGAUGCCCUCUCUUCUAUAUAUAGUCCAACCUUUGGAAAAUACAUGAUUGAAAAGGUUUACUAGAGAAGACGGAGAAUCUACUGGAGUGUUAUGAUACGUUACACACAGUGUCCAGUGGCCUGGGAAUCAAAUGUACAUUAUAUACCAAUACUACUGGAACUGUCUCCAUCACACAAGUUUAAAAGUACGAUAACUGAAUCCCAAGCGAGGAAAAAUUUACAAAUGUAUGGAAAAAAUCUCAAAAUACAUCCAAAGGUUGGCAAAACGCCUCAGUUCAGCAGCUGAAGGCCGUCUGUUUCUGCUGAGGAGAGGCAUCGAGGUGUUAGCCAUGUUGACAGGAGAUUAUGUACCCUGGAAUAGUGUUGGAGUAGAUCUCGUCCCCCAGCCUUAUGGAGUAGUACACCCCAGCCUUACGGAGAAAUACACAAGUGAAGGCAGGAUUUAUAGUAAUGAUAAAGGUUAGGUCACUGAUGUCCAACCUAGUCCCUGUCAAGGACAGAAAGUUUCACACACCCGGCAAAACUACUCAGCCGUGUCACACAGUGUAUGGUCAGGACUCCAAAGGAAACUUACUAGUAACCCAGGUAUGUUGGGUACAGCAUUGACACUGUCAGUAUACAGCCUCCACAGAGUCAGAUGUACAGAUUCAUACAGAUCCUAGUCAACAGAGUGUUUCUUAGGAAAAGCUAGAUAUCUGUCACAGUAUCUUCCAAUAAGUGUAGAAUGUUGCAAUGAGAAUCUGUCCAGCUGAUUAUGACAGGCCAAAGACAUUUACAGUAGAUAAUGUCCUGUGUUUGACCGAGACAAGACUUCUGAAUUCACUUAAUGUUACAACCUGCACUCAGGAGAUGAUGGACAACCUGCCUUCUGUUUGGCCUUGGGUGUUGUAUGCACCAUUUACUUAAUACUUACAGGGAGGAAUUAAUCACAAAUCCCAGAUUAUGCAUCUACAGGCCAAAGUAAGGUGAAAAUGGAUAACAACAGACACAAAAUCAUCACAAUGUGAGUUAAGAUAUGGUAGAGGCAUAGGAAACAAGUCACAAAAAGGUGAGACAAUUUAAUAACUAUAAGAUAGUCAGACGAGAUCCUAACAUGAGAAAUGAGAAAGGUGUAUGUCAUUUAAUCUCAGAAAGGAGAGAUAAUUGAGUAAGUAAGAGACUGUAAAAAGUAGGAAUGAGACCCUUAAAUGAGACAUGAGAAAGGUGUAUGUAAUUCAGAUAAAUUUAAGGAAUGUUAGGCAGUUACACUAAACAUACAAUCAAAUUAAGCACAUUAGUUAUUUUCAGCAUGUUUAAAUAAAUGCAAUAUAUACAGAAACUGUAAUUGGUGUUACUUUUUCAGAGCUAUACUUUCAGUGCUAUCAUCAAAUUUCUGCUUAAAUAUAGAUAUACAUUUACAAUGAAAGAAAGUUAAGAUAGGUACAAGAAAGACAAGAUUUGGGCUGUAAUGAUACAUUUUCUCAAGACAUAAUACCAAUCUCAACAUAUACAUGAUGUGGAAACAAAGAGCAGAAUUAGAGGCAACAAGUUGAAAUGAGUUGGUGAGGAGAUCUCCGUAAUCUCAUAUGUGUACCUGGAAAAAAGAUAAGACAGGUGUGAGAAUGGUGAGACAAACGAGUGAAAUACAAGAAAGAUAAGACAGGUGUGAGAAAGGUGAGACAAACGAGUGAAAUACAAGAAAGAUAAGACAGGUGUGAGAAAGGUGAGACAAACGAGUGAAAUACAAGAAAGAUAAGACAGGUGUGAGAAAGGUGAGACAAACGAGUUAAAUACAAGAAAGAUAAGACAGGUGUGAGAAAGGUGAGACAAACGAGUGAAAUACAAGAAAGAUAAGACAGGUGUGAGAAAGGUGAGACAAAUGAGUGAAAUACAAGAAAGAUAAGACAGGUGUGAGAAAGGUGAGACAAACGAGUGAAAUACAAGAAAGAUAAGACAGGUGUGAGAAAGGUGAGACAAAUGAGUGAAAUACAAGAAAGAUAAGACAGGUGUGAGAAAGGUGAGACAAACGAGUGAAAUACAAGAAAGAUAAGACAGGUGUGAGAAAGGUGAGGCAAAUGAGUGAAAUACAAGAAAGAUAAGACAGGUGUGAGAAAGGUGAGAUAAGAAUGGUGAGACAUAUAUAAGAAAAGUGAAACAAAUACGGUAUAAAAAAAUGAGAGAAUUUCAGGUAUGUUAGAAUGAGACAGGUAUUAUAAUGUGAUAUAGAUGUAAGAGAGGUAUAUAUAAGAUCAAUAUAUAUAUAAGAAGGUGAUACAGGUGUUAUAAAUGUGUCAGAAAUUUCAGUUCAGUAUAUAGAUAGAUAUAUAUAAGAAGGUGAUACAGGUGUUAUAAAUGUGUCAGAAAUUUCAGUUCAGUAUAUAGAUAUAUAUAU
Ylistrum balloti is the source of this 3067-nucleotide long non-coding RNA. RefSeq lists it as uncharacterized. NCBI's taxonomy places the organism in Eukaryota, Metazoa, Mollusca, Bivalvia, Pectinida, Pectinidae. The transcript has 4 exons. The record is from RefSeq and is a predicted model, not a curated record.